Asparagus officinalis (garden asparagus) is the source of this 1520-nucleotide RNA transcript. RefSeq lists it as uncharacterized. The transcript is spliced from 7 exons. Lineage: Eukaryota; Viridiplantae; Streptophyta; Magnoliopsida; Asparagales; Asparagaceae. The record is from RefSeq and is a predicted model, not a curated record.
AUGAGAAAAAACAUUAAUUAAUCAACUUAUCUUCUUUUGUUUUCAAAUUUAAUCAUGAAUAUUGUUUAUAAUUUCUGAAGCACAUUUCAAAUUUUAAGGCUAAUGAAUGGGCCAUCUAAGCUUUGUACAGGUUGUUGUGUUCUAACUUCUAAUCAAGUUAACAGCUUGUUAAACAGAAUAAAUGGGUGAUUACAAGAGAGUAUAUGGAGUAAAUGCCUCCUGGCUUCAGAAAUUUUAAAGCAUCCUACACUGGCAGGGAGCUGUUAAAAUAAUGGUCAUCUACAGGAAUUUUUUAACAUUAAGCAGUGUUUGAUUGGUUUUUUAAAGCAAACUAAAUGUUGUCCAUUCAGAAGUCAGUCUGCACUGGGUCCUGAUGCUUCAUGUGUUUCAAGAAGAAUUCCAACUUUCACCAAAAGAUGAAGAACCUGACAAAGGAAGAGUUUGUGCAUAUAUUUUGUCGCCAAAUCAAUGGAUUUGCUUGUGGGAGCUCCAGGUAUAGAGGGGUGACACUUCACAAAUGUGGCCGGUGGGAAGCUCGCAUGGGACAAUUCCUUAGAUAUCUGUCCUAAGACGUAUAUAUAUCUUGGGUUAUUUGAUAGCGAAAUUAAAGCUGCAAGGGCUUAUGACAGGGCAACAAUAAAAAAUAACGGAAGUGAAGCUGUUACCAAUUUGGACACAACUACUUAUGAUGGUGAAAUACUUCCUCAAACCAAUAAUAGUGGUAUUACCGGUUCAUAUAUCUUACUCCUAUCAUAAAUAGGAAUAUUACUCCUAUCAUCGUUAUUUUGAGCAGAAAUAUAUAUUGGCUAUAUUGUGACUGCUCAUGCUUUAGGUGGCUAAGUUUUAGCCUUAUAAAUUAUCCAGGCACAAAUAGCACUGAAUAAUGUGGAUGUUGCGGUAGAAAAUUUCAAAAAAGCACUAGAAUUGGAGCCAAAUGAUGGAAAAAUAAAGGAGGAACUUGCUGCUGCGAACAAGAAGGAGCGGUUGAAGAAGCUAAAAUCAGAACAUAGAAAAGUUCAACUUGGCAACAUCACUGUGGAUAUGGGGCUCAUCUCAACAAAUUACAGAUAUGUCAAUUUUAUGUUUCUCAUGUGGUUAUGUGGGCAACACACCUAUUACUGGCACAUAGCCGAUAGUGUGUGGAUAACGUUAAUUGAUCUCAAGUCGUUGAAUUUUGAUAGGUUAUAGGUGGAAUGAGAGGAAUGACUGGAUUAUUGUGAGAAACAUCACUACUUGAUCCUGAUGACGGGGCUUUCUAUCCCAGAAUGCCAGAAAGUAUUACCUGCUGCAAGCGGUGGGAAGGAACCAUUGCCCGAGUGUCUUGUGUGACUUCUUUUGACCGGAAAGGUGAUUAUUGACUUGCUUCUAUUGUAAUCACGAUGAAAUUUUUCAUGUAUUUUCCCUAAUUAUUGCCAGUGUUUGUUUGCCAUUUUUGGUGAUGUUUUACAUGAUAUCAUAUUGUGUUCGGAGAAAGAUACAAUAGUAGAAUGCACCUUAAGCAAUGUAAUUUCUCGAAUAAC